This 476-nucleotide ribosomal RNA is filed under the name uncultured bacterium. Its description in RNAcentral is "partial 16S ribosomal RNA". It matches the Rfam family "Bacterial small subunit ribosomal RNA", at positions 28 to 506 of the family's 1533-position model. The record is from RNAcentral.
GAUAAACGCUGGCGGCGUGCAUAACACAUGCAAGUCGAACGAUGAAGCUUAAAAGAUUUCUUCGGGAUGAACUUGACUGGCUUAUUGGCGGAAGGGUGAGUAACGCGUGAGUAACCUGCCUUGUACAAGGGGAUAGCCGUUGGAAACGACGAAUAAUACCCUAUGACAUCAAUUAAUCGCAAGAUACUUUGAUCCAAGAUUUUUCGGUAUAAGAUGCGCUCGCGUCUGAUUAGCUUAAUGGUAGAGUAAAAGCCUACCAAGGCAACGAUCAGUAGCCGGCUUGAGAGAGGGUACGGCCACAUUAGGGCGGCAGCACGGGCCAGACUCCUACGGGAGGCAGCAGUGGGGAAGUUUGCACAAGCGUGGGAGCCCUGAUGCAGCGGAGCCGCGUAAUUUAGAAGGCGGGAGGAUUAUAUAAAUCUGUUGUAUGGGAAGAAAAUGACAGUACCAUACGGAUAAGGACCGGCUAAUUACGU